GCAGACGGGUGAGUAACACGUGAACACCUACCCUCGAGUGGGGAAUAACACCGCGAAAGCGGUGCUAAUACCGCAUAACAUCCCUGGGUCGCAUGAACUGGGGAUCAAGGGCGAAAGUCGCUUGAGGAGGGGUUCGCGGCUGAUUAGCUAGUUGGUGAGGUAACGGCCCACCAAGGCAACGAUCAGUAGCCGGCCUGAGAGGGCGAACGGCCACACUGGAACUGAGACACGGUCCAGACUCCUACGGGAGGCAGCAGUGGGGAAUUUUGCGCAAUGGGCGAAAGCCUGACGCAGCAACGCCGCGUGGAGGAUGAAGGUCUUCGGAUCGUAAACUCCUGUCAGGGGGGACGAAAACCCGCAAGGGUCUGACUGUACCCCCUGAGGAAGCCACGGCCAACUCCGUGCCAGCAGCCGCGGUAAUACGGAGGUGGCAAGCGUUGUUCGGAAUUACCGGGCGUAAAGGGCGCGUAGGCGGCUUGGCAAGUCAGAUGUGAAAUCCCCGGGCUUAACUUGGGAAUUGCAUCUGAAACUGCUUUGCUUGAGUCCCGGAUGGGGUAGUGGAAUUCCCAGUGUAGCGGUGAAAUGCGUAGAUAUUGGGAGGAACACCGGUGGCGAAGGCGGCUACCUGGACAGUGACUGACGCUGAUGCGCGAAAGCUAGGGGAGCGAACGGGAUUAGAUACCCCGGUAGUCCUAGCCGUAAACGAUGGGCACUUGGUGUUGGGGGUAUUGAGUCCCCCGGUGCCGGAGUUAACACGUUAAGUGCCCC
RNAcentral lists this ribosomal RNA (768 nucleotides) under uncultured Acidobacteriota bacterium. RNAcentral describes it as "bacterial SSU rRNA". It matches the Rfam family "Bacterial small subunit ribosomal RNA", at positions 98 to 870 of the family's 1533-position model. Lineage: Bacteria; Pseudomonadati; Acidobacteriota. The record is from RNAcentral.